Dicentrarchus labrax (European seabass) is the source of this 461-nucleotide long non-coding RNA. RefSeq lists it as uncharacterized. The transcript is spliced from 3 exons. The record is from RefSeq and is a predicted model, not a curated record. Lineage: Eukaryota; Metazoa; Chordata; Actinopteri; Moronidae.
AAGAGAAUGUAAAGUUUGGGUCAGUGCGAGGCGGUCGGAGGUCAGUACGAGGUCAGUGCGAGGCGGUCGGAGGUCAGUACGAGGUCAGUGCGAGGCGGUCGGAGGUCAGUACGAGGUCAGUGCGAGGCGGUCGGAGGUCAGUACGAGGUCAGUGCAAGGUCAGUACGAGGCGGUCGGAGGUCAGUACGAGGUCAGUACGAGGCGGUCGGAGGUCAGUACGAGGCAGUCGGAGGUCAGUACAAGGCGGUCGGAGGUCAGUACGAGGUCAGUACAAGGCAGUCGGAGGUCAGUACGAGGCGGUCGGAGGUCAGUACGAGGCAGUCGGAGGUCAGUACAAGGCGGUCGGAGGUCAGUACGAGGUCAGUACAAGGCGGUCGGAGGUCAGUACGAGGUCAGUACAAGGCAGUCGGAGGUCAGUACGAGGCGGUCGGAGGUCAGUACGAGGCAGUCGGAGGUCAGUA